GACGAACGCUGGCGGCGUGCUUAACACAUGCAAGUCGAACGGAAAGACCCUGCUUUUGUGGGGUGCUCGAGUGGCGAACGGGUGAGUAACACGUGAGUAACCUGCCCUUGACUUUGGGAUAACUUCAGGAAACUGGGGCUAAUACCGGAGAGGAGCUCCUGCUGCAUGGUGGGGGUUGGAAAGUUUCGGCGGUUGGGGAUGGAUUCGCGGCUUAUCAGCUUGUUGGUGGGGUAGUGGCUUACCAAGGCUUUGACGGGUAGCCGGCAUGAGAGGGUGACCGGCCACAUGGGGACUGAGAUACGGCCCAGACUCCUACGGGAGGCAGAAGUGGGGAAUAUUGCACAAUGGGCGGAAGCAUGAUGCAGCAACGCCGCGUGCGGGAUGACGGCCUUCGGGUUGUAAACCGCUUUCGCCUGUGACGAAGCGUGAGUGACGGUAAUGGGUAAAGAAGCACCGGCUAACUACGUG
RNAcentral lists this ribosomal RNA (468 nucleotides) under uncultured bacterium. Its description in RNAcentral is "partial 16S ribosomal RNA". It matches the Rfam family "Bacterial small subunit ribosomal RNA", at positions 28 to 507 of the family's 1533-position model. The record is from RNAcentral.